GAACUAUACCUAUAUGUACUUUGAGCUCAUGAUACUGAAAAAUAGGUCUCAACAAGUUGUUUUCAUCUCUCUUCUCACAAAAGAAGGAAGGAAGACAUGCAAGCAUUUCUUAAGAUGCAGUCAUAGACAGAAACAGAUGUGAUGCCCUCCCAUGGAAACAUUCCAUGUCCAUCCUGCCAUGUGUGAAUGCUGACAUCUAUAUCUGCUGACCUAUUCAUAUGUUGUCAGCCAUAAUUCGUUAGAACAUUGUGCUUGAUGCCUCAACAUCUGGGAGAAUAUUUUUGGUCAUCAGUCAAGUUGCAGUGCCAAUUGUGAACUCAGAAUUCCAAAGUGGGGGCUCUCACAGCAAAAAGAGAAGUCCUGUCAUAACUCUUCAGAA
Molecule: long non-coding RNA, 379 nt
Organism: Sceloporus undulatus (fence lizard)
Lineage: Eukaryota; Metazoa; Chordata; Lepidosauria; Squamata; Phrynosomatidae
Exons: 3
Source: RefSeq, a predicted model, not a curated record